AAUGCAAAAACAAUAUUGUGCAGAAGCAAUAAAUCUACAUAGGAAUGCAAGUAGAAGGAGGGAGCCACACAUCCCCUUGAUCUGACUGUGCCAUUCAACAACAGAGUUAAGCUCCACCCUCAAAUCUACUUGCUUGCUCUAGUUUUAUCAAAUGAUAUGGUGGGAAGGUAGGUGGAUGGAGUUGAGUGGGAUCCGGGAUCACCUAUGAUGGACUAGCAGAGCAGACUCCAUGGGCUGAAAGGGUUAAUUCUCUUCCUAUCUCUCAUGGUCUUAUUCCUAUUUUAUUUUAUCUUUCCCUGGAUUCCCAACAUCUGUCAGUCCCAGCCUUUCGUCUACAACCUAUUGAGAAGACAACCCGGUCAUCCCUGGAAACUUUCUUAUUCACCUUCGUUGCACUGUCUCCAAGGUGAGCAUAUCCUUUCUGAAACAAGGAGAUAAAAGCUGUGCUCAGAGCAAUGGAAGAGAGUACCACCUCCUAAACUACUCACCACUAUUUUGUUGGGAUGAAGAAAUGGCUGUUGUACUUCUCUCUGUGAAACAGUUGUCAUGAACAGCUUGUAAACUUCUACUGGUGUGCACUACGCUCAGGAACUUGAUGCUCAGUGACCUGUCUGAUCCACUCACAACUGUAAAUAGUACUUUGCAAAUGAACCUAUUAACUACAUAGUUUAGCCAGUUAAGAAAUAUGUUCAUAGUUUAUACACAUAGCAAAGGCAAUUCUAAUCUCUGUGAACCAGUGGAUUUAGAAGCCUAGAAGUCAAGGAAGUUAAAAAUGAUGAUAUGUUUGUCUCAGAACUACCCUUCUGGUCCAAAUAUGUUGAUGCCAGAGCACAGAAUACACACUAGCACUUGCACUUCUUCAGGAGGCUAAAGAAAUUCAACAUGUGCCCAUUGACCCUUACCAGUUUUAAUAGAUGAACCAUGGAAAACAUCCUAUACAAUACACCAUGGCUUGGCAUGAACACCGCUUUGCCUGAGACUGCAGGAAACUACAGAGAGUUACGGACUAUGACUCAGCACACCAAGGAAACCAACCUUCCUUCAAUGGAUUCUGUCUACACCAGGGGUGGGCAAACUUUUUGACUUGUGGGCCACAAAGGGUUCUAAAAUUUGACAGGGGGGCCGGACCAGGAGCAGAUGGAUGGAGUCUUUUGGUAAUACACCUCAUAAGAGAAAAUAAAAUAUCAUGGGAUAUGUAGAAAACAUGUGCUUUAAUUUCAAUUGAAAAUGAACAAAUGCAUUACAACAAAAUAUCUGUCUUUGAAGUCCCAUGGUAUUUAGCUAUUUAUUGAAAUGACUUUUAAAACACUGAAAAUUAAAUGAAUAAAGUACAGCUUUUUUAAAUAGUAAAAGUUAUUAUUUUAAAGCACUGAAAAUUCUGUUAUCCUUCAAGAUAUUAUCAUCAUCACUCUCCUCCUGACUGUCUUUAUUUCAAAAACGGUAGGAGAUGCAGGUCUACUUGUCCUGCUCCUUCUUAUUCAAUUGUCCCCUGUGCCAAAACUCAACAACGACCAGCACAAAGACAGAACAGUGACAGCGCGCCAGUAUGCGGAGCGCGUUAUUUGAUCUGGAGUGCAUUUUUUAUUUUGAGAACGUACGUGCACCUGUGCACUACUCAUGUCCAUCACUUAACAGAAAUGACAUGUAACAUGUAAGGCUUAUUGAAAAAAAUAUUUUCAAAUGCAUUUUUUACAUAACA
Molecule: long non-coding RNA, 1699 nt
Organism: Hypanus sabinus (Atlantic stingray)
Lineage: Eukaryota; Metazoa; Chordata; Chondrichthyes; Myliobatiformes; Dasyatidae
Exons: 3
Source: RefSeq, a predicted model, not a curated record